GACGAACGCUGGCGGCGUGCUUAACACAUGCAAGUCGAACGAUGAUCUCCCGCUUGCGUGGGUGUUUAGUGGCGAACGGGUGAGUAAUACGUGAGUAACCUGCCCUUUACUCUUUGAUAAGCCUUGGAAACCGGGUCUAAUACUGGAUACUACUUCCUGCCGCAUGGUGGGGGGUGGAAAUGGUUUUACUGGUUUUGGAUGGGCUCACGGCCUAUCAGCUUGUUGGUGGAGUAAUGGCUCACCAAGGCGACGACGGGUAGCCGGCCUGAGAGGGUGACCGGCCACACUGGGACUGAGACACGGCCCAGACUCCUAAGGGAGGAAGAAGUGGGGAAUAUUGCACAAGGGGCGGAAGCCUGAUGCAGCGACGCCGCGGGAGGGAUGACGGGCUUCGGGGUGUAAAACUCUUUCAGCAGGGAAGAAGCCACAAGUGACGGUACCUGAAGAAGAAGCGCCGGCUAACUACGUG
This 469-nucleotide ribosomal RNA is filed under the name uncultured bacterium. RNAcentral's name for it is "partial 16S ribosomal RNA". It matches the Rfam family "Bacterial small subunit ribosomal RNA", at positions 28 to 507 of the family's 1533-position model. The record is from RNAcentral.